GCGAUCUGAAGGAGCAGAGUCUGCCAAUGCCCGUGUCUGCAGUGACCACUUCGUCGGAGGCCUUCAUUUGCUGUUUGGUGUAAUACGACGUCUGAAGGACCAGAUAGUUCGUUAUGUCGACGGCCUCCACUGUCGGCAAAUCUUUAAGGUCCACCGAAAACUCACUCAUCUUCAUGAGACUUCCUGCCCUCCAUCUGAAAUCGCGCCCCCUGGCCGCGUCAUAAUCGUCACGUGACUGAAACCCGGCUAUUGAG
This is a long non-coding RNA of Cyprinodon tularosa, 254 nucleotides long. RefSeq lists it as uncharacterized. The transcript has 3 exons. The record is from RefSeq and is a predicted model, not a curated record. NCBI's taxonomy places the organism in Eukaryota, Metazoa, Chordata, Actinopteri, Cyprinodontiformes, Cyprinodontidae.